UACGGAGGGAGCUAGCGUUGUUCGGAAUUACUGGGCGUAAAGCGCACGUAGGCGGCUUUUUAAGUCAGGGGUGAAAUCCCGGGGCUCAACCCCGGAACUGCCCUUGAAACUGGAGAGCUAGAAUCUUGGAGAGGCGAGUGGAAUUCCGAGUGUAGAGGUGAAAUUCGUAGAUAUUCGGAAGAACACCCAGUGGCGAAGGCGACUCGCUGGACAAGUAUUGACGCUGAGGUGCGAAAGCGUGGGGAGCAAACAGG
RNAcentral lists this ribosomal RNA (254 nucleotides) under uncultured bacterium. RNAcentral's name for it is "partial 16S ribosomal RNA". It matches the Rfam family "Bacterial small subunit ribosomal RNA", at positions 524 to 776 of the family's 1533-position model. The record is from RNAcentral.